RNAcentral lists this ribosomal RNA (460 nucleotides) under uncultured bacterium. RNAcentral describes it as "partial 16S ribosomal RNA". It matches the Rfam family "Bacterial small subunit ribosomal RNA", at positions 338 to 795 of the family's 1533-position model. The record is from RNAcentral.
CCUACGGGUGGCAGCAGUGAGGAAUAUUGGUCAAUGGACGGAAGCCUGAACCAGCCAUGCCGCGUGCAGGAAGACGGCUCUAUGAGUUGUAAACUGCUUUUGUACAAGGGUAAACCUGAAUACGUGUAUUCUGCUGAAAGUACUGUACGAAUAAGGAUCGGCUAACUCCGUGCCAGCAGCCGCGGUAAUACGGAGGAUCCAAGCGUUAUCCGGAUUUAUUGGGUUUAAAGGGUGCGGAGGCGGAUAGAUAAGUUAGAGGGGAAAUGUCCGAGCUUAACUCGGGAACUGCCUCUAAUACUGUUGAUCUGGAGAGUAGAUGAGGUAGGCGGAAUGUAUGGUGUAGCGGUGAAAUGCUUAGAGAUCAUACAGAACACCGAUUGCGAAGGCAGCUUACCAGGCUAUAUCUGACGUUGAGGCACGAAAGCGUGGGGAGCGAACAGGAUUAGAUACCCCAGUAGUC